GAUGAACGCUGGCGGCGUGCCUAAUACAUGCAAGUCGAGCGAAAAGACGAGGAGCUUGCUCCUCUGACGUUAGCGGCGGACGGGUGAGUAACACGUGGGUAACCUACCUAUAAGAAUGGGAUAACUUCGGGAAACCGGAGAUAAUACCGGAUAAUAUAUUGAACCGCAUGGUUCAAUAGUGAAAGACGGUUUUGCUGUCACUUAUAGAUGGAUCCGCGCCGCAUUAGCUAGUUGGUAAGGUAACGGCUUACCAAGGCAACGAUGCGUAGCCGACCUGAGAGGGUGAUCGGCCACACUGGAACUGAGACACGGUCCAGACUCCUACGGGAGGCAGCAGUAGGGAAUCUUCCGCAAUGGGCGAAAGCCUGACGGAGCAACGCCGCGUGAGUGAUGAAGGUCUUCGGAUCGUAAAACUCUGUUAUUAGGGAAGAACAAAUGUGUAAGUAACUAUUCACGUCUUGACGGUACCUAAUCAGAAAGCCACGGCUAACUACGUG
This 497-nucleotide ribosomal RNA is filed under the name uncultured bacterium. RNAcentral describes it as "partial 16S ribosomal RNA". It matches the Rfam family "Bacterial small subunit ribosomal RNA", at positions 28 to 507 of the family's 1533-position model. The record is from RNAcentral.